GAGGCAGCUCGACUCGUAGUACUUAAAAAUGAGCGAGAGAGCAAGACAGCGAUGGUGAGAGAAACUGGAGGAGGUCAAAAAGAGCAUUGAAGAGCUCUCUGACAUCAUCAAAUACAUAGAACCCAUCAUAAUAGCGGAUGAUCUGACAUUUUUAAAGGAAUGUAAGGAGGCAAUAAAACGGACUAGCUACACUGCUCCUGAAACAGAAUAUCCAAAAAAGGCACUUAUAGAUGUGCUUCAGUACCUUGGAUCAUUAAAGCACGGGGUCUGGAAAAGAAUGGAAAGAGAUGUACACCACUCCUCUGUCAAUUUCGAUCCAAACACGGCACACCCUAACUUGAUCAUCAAAGAUGAACUCACCACCAUCAGCUAUGGGAAAAAACAGCAGCUUCCUGAUAACCCUGAACGCUGCACGAGCCGCAUGGCAGUACUCGCUGCUAACAGCUUCGAUUCAGGAAAGCAGCGCUGGCAUGUAUUGGUGGCAUACAGCAAAGAGUGGUACGUUGGGGUGGCACGAGAGUCAAUAAAGAGGAAGACUGCAGUUUUUCUCAACCCAAAAGAGGGUUUCUGGGUAAUUUCAAACAAUGAGGAAUCCUACUGGGCUCAGACCUCUCCCCGCACACGACUAACCCUGAAACCCCCCCCCACCCACAGAUAAUCACAGUUGAACUGGACUAUGAUAAAGGAAAGGUUUCCUUUUCUGACGCUGCAGAUGGUGGCAGUAUUUACACAUUUAAAGAUAAGUUUACUGAGAGAAUCUUUCCUUAUUUUGCCACUGGGAUAAAGGAGGGGAGCACACUUAGAAUCUGUGCAUUUUAAUGCAUGGGGCACAAAACAGUACAUUAAU
Molecule: long non-coding RNA, 847 nt
Organism: Sinocyclocheilus anshuiensis
Lineage: Eukaryota; Metazoa; Chordata; Actinopteri; Cypriniformes; Cyprinidae
Exons: 4
Source: RefSeq, a predicted model, not a curated record